UACGAAGGGAGCAAGCGUUGUCCGGAUUUAUUGGGCGUAAAGAGCGUGUAGGCGGCCAGACAGGUCCGUUGUGAAAACUGGAGGCUUAACCUCCAGACGUCGAUGGAAACCGUCUGGCUAGAGUCCGCAAGAGGAGAGUGGAAUUCCUGGUGUAGCGGUGAAAUGCGCAGAUAUCAGGAAGAACACCCGUGGCUAAGGCGGCUCUCUAGUACGGUACUGACGCUGAGACGCGAAAGCGUGGGGAGCGAACAGG
This 253-nucleotide ribosomal RNA is filed under the name uncultured bacterium. RNAcentral's name for it is "partial 16S ribosomal RNA". It matches the Rfam family "Bacterial small subunit ribosomal RNA", at positions 524 to 776 of the family's 1533-position model. The record is from RNAcentral.